This 482-nucleotide ribosomal RNA is filed under the name uncultured bacterium. Its description in RNAcentral is "partial 16S ribosomal RNA". It matches the Rfam family "Bacterial small subunit ribosomal RNA", at positions 30 to 507 of the family's 1533-position model. The record is from RNAcentral.
AUUGAACGCUGGCGGCAUGCCUUACACAUGCAAAUCGAACGGUAACGGGCCUUCGGGUGCCGACGAGUGGCGGACGGGUGAGUAAUACAUCGGAACGUGCCCGAUCGUGGGGGAUAACGAGGCGAAAGCUUUGCUAAUACCGCAUACGAUCUACGGAUGAAAGCAGGGGACCGCAAGGCCUUGCGCGGACGGAGCGGCCGAUGGCAGAUUAGGUAGUUGGUGGGAUAAAAGCUUACCAAGCCGACGAUCUGUAGCUGGUCUGAGAGGAUGAUCAGCCACACUGGGACUGAGACACGGCCCAGACUCCUACGGGAGGCAGCAGUGGGGAAUUUUGGACAAUGGGCGCAAGCCUGAUCCAGCCAUGCCGCGUGCAGGAUGAAGGCCUUCGGGUUGUAAACUGAUUCUGUACGGAACGAAAAGCCUUCUUUUAAUACAGGAGGGUCAUGACGGUACCGUAAGAAUAAGCACCGGCUAACUACGUG